GACGAACGCUGGCGGCGUGCUUAACACAUGCUAGUCGAACGGAAAGGCCCUGCUUUUGUGGGGUGCCCGAGUGGCGAACGGGUGAGUAACACGUGAGUAACCUGCCCUUGACUUUGGGAUAACUUCAGGGAACUGGGGCUAAUACCGGAUAGGAGCUCCUGCUGCAUGGUGGGGGUUGGAAAGUUUCGGCGGUUGGGGAUGGACUCGCGGCUUAUCAGCUUGUUGGUGGGGUAGUGGCUUACCAAGGCUUUGACGGGUAGCCGGCCUGAGAGGGUGACCGGCCACAUUGGGACUGAGAUACGGCCCAGACUCCUACGGGAGGCAGCAGUGGGGAAUAUUGCACAAUGGGCGGAAGCCUGAUGCAGCAACGCCGCGUGCGGGAUGACGGCCUUCGGGUUGUAAACCGCUUUCGCCUGUGACGAAGCGUGAGUGACGGUAAUGGGUAAAGAAGCACCGGCUAACUACGUGCCAGCAGCCGCGGUGAUACGUAGGGUGCGAGCGUUGUCCGGAUUUAUUGGGCGUAAAGGGCUCGUAGGUGGUUGAUCGCGUCGGAAGUGUAAUCUUGGGGCUUAACCCUGAGCGUGCUUUCGAUACGGGUUGACUUGAGGAAGGUAGGGGAGAAUGGAAUUCCUGGUGGAGCGGUGGAAUGCGCAGAUAUCAGGAGGAACACCAGUGGCGAAGGCGGUUCUCUGGGCCUUUCCUGACGCUGAGGAGCGAAAGCGUGGGGAGCGAACAGGCUUAGAUACCCUGGUAGUCCACGCUGUAAACGGUGGGUACUAGGUGUGGGGUCCAUUCCACGGGUUCCGUGCCGUAGCUAACGCUUUAAGUACCCCGCCUGGGGAGUACGGCCGCAAGGCUAAAACUCAAAGGAAUUGACGGGGCCCCGCACAAGCGGCGGAGCAUGCGGAUUAAUUCGAUGCAACGCGUAGAACCUUACCUGGGUUUGACAUGGAUCGGGAGCGCUCAGAGAUGGGUGUGCCUCUUUUGGGGUCGGUUCACAGGUGGUGCAUGGCUGUCGUCAGCUCGUGUCGUGAGAUGUUGGGUUAAGUCCCGCAACGAGCGCAACCCUUGUUCACUGUUGCCAGCACGUUAUGGUGGGGACUCAGUGGAGACCGCCGGGGUCAACUCGGAGGAAGGUGGGGAUGGCGUCAAGUCAUCAUGCCCCUUAUGUCCAGGGCUUCACGCAUGCUACAAUGGCUGGUACAGAGAGUGGCGAGCCUGUGAGGGUGAGCGAAUCUCGGAAAGCCGGUCUCAGUUCGGAUUGGGGUCUGCAACUCGACCUCAUGAAGUCGGAGUCGCUAGUAAUCGCAGAUCGGCAACGCUGCGGUGAAUACGUUCCCGGGGCU
Molecule: ribosomal RNA, 1346 nt
Filed under: uncultured bacterium
Lineage: Bacteria
Description: bacterial SSU rRNA
Rfam family: Bacterial small subunit ribosomal RNA
Source: RNAcentral